Molecule: transfer RNA, 63 nt
Filed under: Leptobrachella oshanensis (Oshan metacarpal-tubercled toad)
Lineage: Eukaryota; Metazoa; Chordata; Amphibia; Anura; Megophryidae
Description: tRNA-Cys
Rfam family: tRNA
About the family: Transfer RNA (tRNA) molecules are approximately 80 nucleotides in length. Their secondary structure includes four short double-helical elements and three loops (D, anti-codon, and T loops). Further hydrogen bonds mediate the characteristic L-shaped molecular structure. tRNAs have two regions of fundamental functional importance: the anti-codon, which is responsible for specific mRNA codon recognition, and the 3' end, to which the tRNAs corresponding amino acid is attached (by aminoacyl-tRNA synthetases). tRNAs cope with the degeneracy of the genetic code in two manners: having more than one tRNA (with a specific anti-codon) for a particular amino acid; and 'wobble' base-pairing, i.e. permitting non-standard base-pairing at the 3rd anti-codon position.
Source: RNAcentral
AGUCCUGUAGUGUAGGCACAUCGGAUUGCAAACCCGAAAACGCGGUUUAUCCCGCCGGGACUU